Manis javanica (Malayan pangolin) is the source of this 921-nucleotide long non-coding RNA. RefSeq lists it as uncharacterized. Lineage: Eukaryota; Metazoa; Chordata; Mammalia; Pholidota; Manidae. The record is from RefSeq and is a predicted model, not a curated record.
UAUUCUAAUCUCCUGCAUCCAGCACAAUUGUGUGUGAGUUCAAGCUUUUGCAACCUUGGGGACUUUGUGUCCCUUUUACCAAUCACAGAGGCUUUCCUUUAUGAUUCUGAAGCAAAUGGAAAACAAUUUAUCAUUUAUCCUCAAAGAUGCAAAAUGCUAAAAUCUUCAUCUUGGGUUGAAGACUGGGACCCACUGGGCUAGCACCUUGGAAAUGAGGAGGGCGCAGCAAGCAGCAGGCACCUGGAGGCCAAGCAGGGAGACAGGAAGGAGCCUGAAAUGUGAAGGCUGUGGAAGGUCCCGCCCCUUGGCUUGGCCCCAAGGCUCUGUCACGGCUUCGCAGUGUGUGUGUAGUAAAGAAGUUAAUUUGCUCUGGACGCAUUCUGUUGACUCCUGCAAUCAAGUCCAACUUAAUUAAUUCACCAGCAGUGAAUGGCUGCCCUUGUUUGCUCACAGGUGUGGAUCUGAAGGACACCCCUAACAGUCAUCGUGUACUUUAAACUUGUCUCAACGCCUGCAGCCAAGAGAAGUCGGAGUGUAGGUGCGGUCUGAGAAAGCAGGCUGGAAGGCUCUUAGCCAGCACCGUCAUCUGAGGGCUUGCGGCGUGUAUGAUUCACCAGCACACCACGUCAGACCCAGGGACCCAACUUACUGCAGUGGCGGUGCAGGGACGAGCCCACAGUCACAGGUUCACUGAUUCCGUCAUAUGCGGUGCCACGAGAAGCUGCUGGCCCGACAGGGUGUCGGAAUGGCCUUCUGACGGCCCACUUGAGGUGUCAACUUGAAGGCAAUCGUUUAUGAGGAGUGGGCUCAUCUUCCCGGGUGCUGUGUACACCUUGACUCAAAGACCUUUCUGUGUGUUGUGUCCUCAGUAGGAAGAAUGCAUGGUUCUAGAAACCCGGGUGGAAGCAAGAGGGACCUAUU